GGUUCGAUUUCGGAGAGGGAGCAUGAGAAACGGCUACCACAUCUAAGGAAGGCAGCAGGCGCGUAAAUUACCCAAUCCUGACUCAGGGAGGUAGUGACAAGAAAUAGCAAACCGGGAACCUCAUGGUUUCACGGUAUUGCAAUGAGAACAAUUUAAAACCCUUAGCGAGAAUCAAGUGGAGGACAAGUCUGGUGCCAGCACCCGCGGUAAUUCCAGCUCCACUAGCGUAUAUUAAAGUUGUUGCAGUUAAAAAGCUCGUAGUUGAACCUCUGUCUGGGGCUAGUUUUGGCUUUGGUCAGGCUAGUUCUAGGCAUCCGCCUACAAGACUUAGAGGGCAUUCAGUUGUUCACUAGGAGGAGUAGGCAUUUUACUUUAAAAAAAUUAGAGUGUUUAAGGCAGGCAAUCGCCCGCAUAUAUUAGCAUGGAAUAAUAGAAUAGGACACUUUUCCAUUUCGUUGGUUAUUGGAAUCGUGUAAUGAUUAAUAGGGACAGUUGUGGGCAUUAGUAUUUAAUUGUCAGAGGUGAAAUUCUUGGAUUUAUUAAAGACAAACUAACGCGAAAGCAUUUGCCAAGGAUGUUUUCAUUAAUCAAGAACGAAAGUUAGGGGAUCAAAGACGAUCAGAUACCGUCCUAGUCUUAACUAUAAACUAUUCCGACUCAAUGUUUGACUGGCUUAUACAACCAGUUGAGCGUUGUAUGAGAAAUCAAAGUCUUUAGGUUCUGGGGGGAGUAUGGUUGCAAAGCUGAAACUUAAAGGAAUUGACGGAAGAGCACAACCAGGAGUGGAUUCUGCGGCUUAAUUUGACUCAACACGGGGAAACUUACCAGGUUAAAACAAUAGUGGGAUUGACAGUUUGAGAGCGCUUUCUUGAUUGGUUGGGUGGUGGUGCAUGGCCGUUCUUAGUUGGUGGAGUGAUUUGUCUGCUUAAUUGCGUUAACGAACGAGACCUUAACCUGCUUACUAGACUGGCGAUCAUCAAUCGUUAGCUCUUCUUAGAGGGACUUUGGUUGUUUUAACUCCAAGGAAGCUUGAGGCAAUAACAGGUCUGUGAUGCCCUUAGAUAUCCUGGGCCGCACGCGUCAUACAAUGACUAGUUCAGAAAGUUUUCUCCUGACCCGAAAGGGGAUGGGUAAUCUUGAUAAUACUAGUCGUGUUAGGGAUCGAUCUUUGCAAUUAUAGAUCUUAACGAGGAAUUCCUAGUAAGUGCGGUUCAUCAGACCGUACUGAUUACGUCCCUGCUCUUUGUACACACCGCCCGUCGCUUCUACCGAGUGGGUGGUCCGGUGAGAUAAUACG
This 1297-nucleotide ribosomal RNA is filed under the name metagenome. RNAcentral's name for it is "SSU rRNA". It matches the Rfam family "Eukaryotic small subunit ribosomal RNA", at positions 374 to 1713 of the family's 1831-position model. The record is from RNAcentral.